Molecule: ribosomal RNA, 467 nt
Filed under: uncultured bacterium
Lineage: Bacteria
Description: partial 16S ribosomal RNA
Rfam family: Bacterial small subunit ribosomal RNA
Source: RNAcentral
ACGAACGCUGGCGGCGUGCUUAACACAUGCCAGUCGCACGGAAAGGCCCUGCUUUUGUGGGGUGCUCGAGUGGCGAACGGGUGAGUAACACGUGAGUAACCUGCCCUUGACUUUGGGAUAACUUCAGGAAACUGGGGCUAAUACCGGAUAGGAGCUCCUGCUGCAUGGUGGGGGUUGGAAAGUUUCGGCGGUUGGGGAUGGACUCGCGGCUUAUCAGCUUGUUGGUGGGGUAGUGGCUUACCAAGGCUUUGACGGGUAGCCGGCCUGAGAGGGUGACCGGCCACAUUGGGACUGAGAUACGGCCCAGACUCCUACGGGAGGCAGCAGUGGGGAAUAUUGCACAAUGGGCGGAAGCCUGAUGCAGCAACGCCGCGUGCGGGAUGACUGCCUUCGGGUUGUAAACCGCUUUCGCCUGUGACGAAGCGUGAGUGACGGUAAUGGGUAAAGAAGCACCGGCUAACUACGUG